Molecule: ribosomal RNA, 889 nt
Filed under: Rhodococcus erythropolis
Lineage: Bacteria; Bacillati; Actinomycetota; Actinomycetes; Mycobacteriales; Nocardiaceae
Description: bacterial SSU rRNA
Rfam family: Bacterial small subunit ribosomal RNA
Source: RNAcentral
GCAGUCGAGCGGUAAGGCCUUUCGGGGUACACGAGCGGCGAACGGGUGAGUAACACGUGGGUGAUCUGCCCUGCACUUCGGGAUAAGCCUGGGAAACUGGGUCUAAUACCGGAUAUGACCUCCUAUCGCAUGGUGGGUGGUGGAAAGAUUUAUCGGUGCAGGAUGGGCCCGCGGCCUAUCAGCUUGUUGGUGGGGUAAUGGCCUACCAAGGCGACGACGGGUAGCCGACCUGAGAGGGUGACCGGCCACACUGGGACUGAGACACGGCCCAGACUCCUACGGGAGGCAGCAGUGGGGAAUAUUGCACAAUGGGCGAAAGCCUGAUGCAGCGACGCCGCGUGAGGGAUGACGGCCUUCGGGUUGUAAACCUCUUUCAGCAGGGACGAAGCGCAAGUGACGGUACCUGCAGAAGAAGCACCGGCUAACUACGUGCCAGCAGCCGCGGUAAUACGUAGGGUGCAAGCGUUGUCCGGAAUUACUGGGCGUAAAGAGUUCGUAGGCGGUUUGUCGCGUCGUUUGUGAAAACCAGCAGCUCAACUGCUGGCUUGCAGGCGAUACGGGCAGACUUGAGUACUGCAGGGGAGACUGGAAUUCCUGGUGUAGCGGUGAAAUGCGCAGAUAUCAGGAGGAACACCGGUGGCGAAGGCGGGUCUCUGGGCAGUAACUGACGCUGAGGAACGAAAGCGUGGGUAGCGAACAGGAUUAGAUACCCUGGUAGUCCACGCCGUAAACGGUGGGCGCUAGGUGUGGGUUCCUUCCACGGAAUCCGUGCCGUAGCUAACGCAUUAAGCGCCCCGCCUGGGGAGUACGGCCGCAAGGCUAAAACUCAAAGGAAUUGACGGGGCCCGCACAAGCGGCGGAGCAUGUGGAUUAAUUCGAUGCAACGCGA